Molecule: ribosomal RNA, 419 nt
Filed under: bacterium
Lineage: Bacteria
Description: partial 16S ribosomal RNA
Rfam family: Bacterial small subunit ribosomal RNA
Source: RNAcentral
UGGGGGAUAUUGCACAAUGGGCGAAAGCCUGAUGCAGCGACGCCGCGUGGGGGAUGAAGGCCUUCGGGUUGUAAACUUCUUUUGCUCUGAACAAGGCGCACCAUGGGGUGUGUUGAGUGUAGGGGUUGAUUAGCGCCGGCUAACUACGUGCCAGCAGCCGCGGUAAUACGUAGGGCGCGAGCGUUGUCCGGAAUUAUUGGGCGUAAAGGGCUUGUAGGUGGCUGGUUGCGUCUGUCGUGAAAGCUCAUGGCUUAACUGUGGGUUUGCGGUGGGUACGGGCUGGCUUGAGUGCAGUAGGGGAGGCUGGAAUUCCUGGUGUAGCGGUGGAAUUCGCAGAUAUCAGGAGGAAUACCGGUGGCGAAGGCGGGUCUCUGGGCUGUUACUGACACUGAGGAGCGAAAGCAUGGGGAGCGAACAGG